AACGUAGGAGGCGAGCGUUAUCCGGAUUUACUGGGCGUAAAGCGCACGCAGGCGGAGUGGCAAGUUGGACGUGAAAGCUCCUGGCUUAACUGGGAGAGGCCGUUCGAGACUACCAGUCUUGAGGUAGGGAGAGGGGUGUGGAAUUCCCGGUGUAGUGGUGGAAUGCGUAGAUAUCGGGAGGAACACCAGUGGCGAAGGCGGCACCCUGGCCCUCACCUGACGCUGAGGUGCGAAAGCGUGGGUAG
This 245-nucleotide ribosomal RNA is filed under the name uncultured bacterium. RNAcentral describes it as "partial 16S ribosomal RNA". It matches the Rfam family "Bacterial small subunit ribosomal RNA", at positions 524 to 768 of the family's 1533-position model. The record is from RNAcentral.